RNAcentral lists this ribosomal RNA (465 nucleotides) under uncultured bacterium. RNAcentral describes it as "partial 16S ribosomal RNA". It matches the Rfam family "Bacterial small subunit ribosomal RNA", at positions 28 to 507 of the family's 1533-position model. The record is from RNAcentral.
GACGAACGCUGGCGGCGUGCUUAACACAUGCAAGUCGAACGGAAAGGCCCUGCUUGCAGGGUACUCGAGUGGCGAACGGGUGAGUAACACGUGGGUGAUCUGCCCUGCACUUCGGGAUAAGCCUGGGAAACUGGGUCUAGUACCGGAUAGGAGCCAUUUUUAGUGUGAUGGUUGGAAAGUUUUUUCGGUGUAGGAUGAGCUCGCGGCCUAUCAGCUUGUUGGUGGGGUAAUGGCCUACCAAGGCGGCGACGGGUAGCCGGCCUGAGAGGGUGGACGGCCACAUUGGGACUGAGAUACGGCCCAGACUCCUACGGGAGGCAGCAGUGGGGAAUAUUGCACAAUGGGCGCAAGCCUGAUGCAGCGACGCCGCGUGGGGGAUGACGGCCUUCGGGUUGUAAACUCCUUUCGCUAGGGACGAAGCUUUUUGUGACGGUACCUAGAGAAGAAGCACCGGCUAACUACGUG